Molecule: ribosomal RNA, 484 nt
Filed under: uncultured bacterium
Lineage: Bacteria
Description: partial 16S ribosomal RNA
Rfam family: Bacterial small subunit ribosomal RNA
Source: RNAcentral
AUUGAACGCUGGCGGCAGGCCUAACACAUGCAAGUCGAGCGGAUGAAGGGAGCUUGCUCCUGGAUUCAGCGGCGGACGGGUGAGUAAUGCCUAGGAAUCUGCCUGGUAGUGGGGGAUAACGUCCGGAAACGGGCGCUAAUACCGCAUACGUCCUGAGGGAGAAAGUGGGGGAUCUUCGGACCUCACGCUAUCAGAUGAGCCUAGGUCGGAUUAGCUAGUUGGUGGGGUAAAGGCCUACCAAGGCGACGAUCCGUAACUGGUCUGAGAGGAUGAUCAGUCACACUGGAACUGAGACACGGUCCAGACUCCUACGGGAGGCAGCAGUGUGGAAUAUUGGACAAUGGGCGAAAGCCUGAUCCAGCCAUGCCGCGUGUGUGAAGAAGGUCUUCGGAUUGUAAAGCACUUUAAGUUGGGAGGAAGGGCAGUAAGUUAAUACCUUGCUGUUCUGACGUUACCAACAGAAUAAGCACCGGCUAACUUCGUG